AGAGUUUGAUCCUGGCUCAGAUUGAACGCUGGCGGCAUGCCUUACACAUGCAAGUCGAACGGCAGCACGGGAGCAAUCCUGGUGGCGAGUGGCGAACGGGUGAGUAAUAUAUCGGAACGUACCUUGGAGUGGGGGAUAACGUAGCGAAAGUUACGCUAAUACCGCAUAUUCUGUGCGCAGGAAAGCAGGGGAUCUUAGGACCUUGUGCUCUUUGAGCGGCCGAUAUCAGAUUAGCUAGUUGGUGAGGUAAAGGCUCACCAAGGCGACGAUCUGUAGCGGGUCUGAGAGGAUGAUCCGCCACACUGGAACUGAGACACGGUCCAGACUCCUACGGGAGGCAGCAGUGGGGAAUUUUGGACAAUGGGGGCAACCCUGAUCCAGCCAUGCCGCGUGAGUGAAGAAGGCCUUCGGGUUGUAAAGCUCUUUCGGCCGGGAAGAAAUCGCAUCGGUUAAUACCCGGUGUGGAUGACGGUACCGGAAUAAGAAGCACCGGCUAACUACGUGCCAGCAGCCGCGGUAAUACGUAGGGUGCGAGCGUUAAUCGGAAUUACUGGGCGUAAAGCGUGCGCAGGCGGUUUGUUAAGAUAGGCGUGAAAUCCCCGGGCUCAACCUGGGAACUGCGCUUAUGACUGGCAGGCUAGAGUACGGCAGAGGGGGGUGGAAUUCCACGUGUAGCAGUGAAAUGCGUAGAGAUGUGGAGGAACACCAAUGGCGAAGGCAGCCCCCUGGGUCGAUACUGACGCUCAUGCACGAA
RNAcentral lists this ribosomal RNA (754 nucleotides) under uncultured bacterium. RNAcentral describes it as "bacterial SSU rRNA". It matches the Rfam family "Bacterial small subunit ribosomal RNA", at positions 8 to 757 of the family's 1533-position model. The record is from RNAcentral.